AAACCGUUCAGGGGUAAACCUGUGAAACCCAAAAGAUCGAAUGAGGAGAUUCAUCGUCAGCGUAUUCAGUAUUAAUGCAGGCUAUGAUGUGAUAAUAGAAUCCUCGUGGUCACUAGAUUAUACUUGCUUGUAUUAUUUUUGCUGRGUAUGUCGGCGUGCACUUCUCCUCUAGUAGAACGUCGCAACCCGUUGGAUGUUUAUCUAUGGCCURAAUGGUAGCCUUYGAUAUUUUAUAUYGRARACCUUUGGUGUCCUGAUAAACUGUCUGACGGURUACAAAGUCUGCUGUUAGCUGRUAAURUCUUUAACUGGCUUAUUUACUGGUUAGCGAUGCUACUGCUUUGGGUACUUACAGGACCCGUCUUGAAACACGGACCAAGGAGUCUAACAUGUGCGCGAGUCAUUGGGAUAUAUUUAUAUAACUCAAACCUAAAGGCGUAAUGAAAGUAUAGAUUGUCUUUAGACAAUUGAGGGAAGAUGGGUUGCGUUACGAUGMAAUYCCGCAUUCCCGGGACGUUCUAUUCUCAUUGAGAAAGGGCGUACCUAGAGCGUACACGUU
RNAcentral lists this ribosomal RNA (559 nucleotides) under Parapanteles sp. doli16. RNAcentral describes it as "partial 28S ribosomal RNA". The record is from RNAcentral. Lineage: Eukaryota; Metazoa; Arthropoda; Insecta; Hymenoptera; Braconidae.